RNAcentral lists this ribosomal RNA (731 nucleotides) under uncultured cyanobacterium. RNAcentral's name for it is "bacterial SSU rRNA". It matches the Rfam family "Bacterial small subunit ribosomal RNA", at positions 55 to 829 of the family's 1533-position model. The record is from RNAcentral. Lineage: Bacteria; Bacillati; Cyanobacteriota.
AUGCAAGUCGAACGGGAAUCUUCGGAUUCUAGUGGCGGACGGGUGAGUAACGCGUAAGAAUCUAACUUCAGGACGGGGACAACAGUUGGAAACGACUGCUAAUACCCGAUGUGCCGAAAGGUGAAACCUAAUUGGCCUGAAGAAGAGCUUGCGUCUGAUUAGCUAGUUGGUGGGGUAAGAGCCUACCAAGGCGACGAUCAGUAGCUGGUCUGAGAGGAUGAGCAGCCACACUGGGACUGAGACACGGCCCAGACUCCUACGGGAGGCAGCAGUGGGGAAUUUUCCGCAAUGGGCGAAAGCCUGACGGAGCAACGCCGCGUGAGGGAGGAAGGUCUUUGGAUUGUAAACCUCUUUUCUCAAGGAAGAAGUUCUGACGGUACUUGAGGAAUCAGCCUCGGCUAACUCCGUGCCAGCAGCCGCGGUAAUACGGGGGAGGCAAGCGUUAUCCGGAAUUAUUGGGCGUAAAGCGUCCGCAGGUGGUCAGCCAAGUCUGCCGUCAAAUCAGGUUGCUUAACGACCUAAAGGCGGUGGAAACUGGCAGACUAGAGAGCAGUAGGGGUAGCAGGAAUUCCCAGUGUAGCGGUGAAAUGCGUAGAGAUUGGGAAGAACAUCGGUGGCGAAAGCGUGCUACUGGGCUGUAUCUGACACUCAGGGACGAAAGCUAGGUGAGCGAAAGGUAUUAGAUACCCCUGUAGUCCUAGCCGUAAACGAUGGAUACUAGGCGUGGCUUG